This 1362-nucleotide long non-coding RNA is filed under the name Salmo salar (Atlantic salmon). RNAcentral's name for it is "lncRNA (ENSSSAG00000103000.1)". Lineage: Eukaryota; Metazoa; Chordata; Actinopteri; Salmoniformes; Salmonidae. The record is from RNAcentral.
UGUGGCUUUUCAUAAUGAAUUGGCUGGCUGACAGGACUCAACGCUUGUUGUUAGGUGUGGCUUUUCAUAAUGAAUUGGCUGGCUGACAGGACUCAGUGCUUGUUGUUAGGUGUGGCUUUUCAUAAUGAAUUGGCUGGCUGACAGGACUCAGUGCUUGUCGUUAGGUGUAGCUUUUCAUAAUGAAUUGGCUGGCUGACAGGACUCAGUGCUUGUCGUUAGGUGUAGCUUUUCAUAAUGAAUUGGCUGGUUGACAGGACUCAGUGCUUGUUGUGAGGUGUGGCUUUUCAUAAUGAAUUGGCUGGCUGACAGGACUCAGUGCUUGUUGUUAGGUGUGGUUUUCAUAGACAAUGUGUGUUUACUAUAAGAGAAAGCAAAGCAGGUUGCACUAAAUGAACGUAUGAUAUGACAUGCUAACCAUCACAUCUUCAGUACUAUAGACAGGAUGGUGGGUUUAAUGGAUUUACAUUUUUGUAGACGAUUCCAUUUUAAAGUGUCGUCAGUCUUAGUGUUAUUCACAUGAAGUGUUCCUGCCCUCGACUUGGUGCUUUGUGUAAACUGAUUAUGCUCACAGAGGAGGUUAAUGACUUUAAUGAUGGUUCUAUCUACAGAAGGGAGAGAGAGAGGGAGACAGGGAAGAGAGGGAGACAGAGAAGAGAGAGGGAGACAGAGAAGAGAGGGAGACAGAGAAGAGAGGGAGACAGAGAAGAGAGGGAGACAGAAGAGAGGGAGACAGAAGAGAGGGAGACAGGGAAGAGAGGGAGACAGAGAAGAGAGAGGGAGACAGAGAAGAGAGGGAGACAGAGAAGAGAGAGGGAGACAGAGAAGAGAGAGGGAGACAGAGAAGAGAGGGAGACAGAGAAGAGAGGGAGACAGAGAAGAGAGGGAGACAGAGAAGAGAGGGAGACAGAAGAGAGGGAGACAGAAGAGAGGGAGACAGAAGAGAAGGACACAGAGAUGGGGACAGAGAAGAGUGAGGGAGACAGAGAAGAGAGAGAGACAGAAGAGAGAGGGAGAGAAGGAAGAGGCAGAAAAGAGCGCGAGAGAGAGGGAGAGAAGGAAGAGAGAGGGAGAGAAGAAAGAGAGAGGGAGAGAAGGAAGAGAGAGGGAGGGAGAGAGAGAGUCCGAGAUGACCAAUUAAUCCAGCAUUUCAAAUAAACUCAUCAGCUCUUCCACAGCUCACCUCAAGAGACUGACGUGAGGGGAAAAUUAUAAAACUGCUAAAUAAAAUGUCUUCCUGGCAAAAACAUUAUUUCGGACACUUUCUUCCCUCCUCCAUGCUAGAAAUAAUUGACUGAAGCUAAAUUAUGGCCGGGCUUUUAUACAUCAUCCACAGUUUAAGUGCAGCAUCUCACUUGAUUAUCC